UGCCAGCAAUGAAGCUGUUUCAAUCUUUGGCACGAGUGGUUCCUCAAUUUUCUUCCUGAAGAUGGUGAUGAUUGUGGGAUUUUUGAGAUUCUAUUGCAUCUCUUUGGUGGUCCACUUGUUGAGAAAAAGCUUAUGAAAGCAGGUGGAUGCUCUUUAUUCUUGUAGAUCUCAGCAGCCUAUUGAAACCUCAACUCAAACUCAAAGCCCUGUGGAUUUCUUGCACGCGAAUACCUUACAGACAACUUGUAGAAGACAGAAUAUGUGAAGGACAGCAAUGAAAUGCUUUCAUCAGGAUGGAAACUUAAAGGUAUUGUGAAGUCGGGACUUUUUCACUCAAAGUCAUCCUUUCAAGAGUGCACCAGGAAUAACAAAACUACUUUGAACAAAACAGUGGUUGUUAUUUUAGUAAUUCCCUCAUAAAUCCAUGCUGCCCAACUGGGAUGCUCCCUUUCAACCUCCUGAAGCAACUUCCUAUUAUUUGACAGGAUCUGCAGGACCCAAAAAUAACUCUGUUUUGAGUGGAAAAAAGGAAUUGAAGGUGCGAUGGCACAUUGUGUGUGGCUAGAAGGACAUUUUGGCCUUCAGGCCUGAGAUAAUUACAAACAAGAAGGUUAAAAUCUCUGCUCACUAGAAGGUGUUUUUUCUCUCCU
Molecule: long non-coding RNA, 650 nt
Organism: Ornithorhynchus anatinus (platypus)
Lineage: Eukaryota; Metazoa; Chordata; Mammalia; Monotremata; Ornithorhynchidae
Exons: 3
Source: RefSeq, a predicted model, not a curated record